Molecule: long non-coding RNA, 480 nt
Organism: Bufo gargarizans (Asiatic toad)
Lineage: Eukaryota; Metazoa; Chordata; Amphibia; Anura; Bufonidae
Exons: 3
Source: RefSeq, a predicted model, not a curated record
ACUGCAUGGCGGGCAUCUCAGAUAGGGCACAGCUCUCCGGGACCGGGGACCUCCAGAAAACUAGUCUGUCAUGUGCCAGGUGAAGGUGACUGUAAAGUGUCCACAUCAGGCAGUGACCUCACCAUGGGAGCCUGGCAGUGCCAGGCUUCCUGAUCCCCACCUCUUGGACCACGUGCCGUCUACUGAACCAUCGCAUCGCCAUGCGUAUCCUAUGUUAUAUGCCAACAUAAUAUUAUGUAGCUACUGAAUUGUAACUCUAUAUCAGGAUGAUUUCUCAUCAAUUAUCUGCUUGCCAUUUCUUUCUUUAUUUUACUUUUUUCCUUCUUUUUCACCUUUUAUGUUCCUUUUGAUUUAUUGUCGCCAAUGGUGUACUACAUAAGUUUAUGUAUAUGCCUUGUAUAUGUAUGUGUAUAUAUAUGACACUAUUAUUCUCUGUUCCAUAGUGUCUGAUGAAGGCUAAUAUAGCCGAAAACGCGUUCA